GACGAACGCUGGCGGCGUGCUUAACACAUGCAAGUCGAACGGAAAGGCCCUGCUCUUGUGGGGUUCUUGAGUGGCGAACGGGUGAGUAUCACGUGAGUAUCCCGCCCUUGACUUUGGGAUAUCUUUUGGGAACUCGGGCUCAUACCCGAUAGGAGCUCCUGCUGCAUGGUGGUGCUUGGACAUUUUCGGCGGUUGGGGAUGGACUCGCUGCUUACCAGCUUGUUGGUGGGGUAGUGGCUUACCAAGGAUUUGACGGGUAGCCGACCUGGGAGGGUAGCCGGCGUCAUGGGGACUGAGGUACGGCCCAGACUACUACGGGAGGCAGCGGUGGGGAGUAUUACACAAUGGGCGGAAGCCUGAUGCAACAGCGCCGCGUGCGGGAUGACGGCCUUCGAGUUGUAAACCGCUUUCGCAUGUGACGAAGAAUGAGUGACGGUAAUGGGUAAGGAAGCACCGGCUAACUACGUG
This 468-nucleotide ribosomal RNA is filed under the name uncultured bacterium. RNAcentral's name for it is "partial 16S ribosomal RNA". It matches the Rfam family "Bacterial small subunit ribosomal RNA", at positions 28 to 507 of the family's 1533-position model. The record is from RNAcentral.